ACGCUGGCGGCAUGCCUUACACAUGCAAGUCGAACGGUAACAGGUCUUCGGAUGCUGACGAGUGGCGAACGGGUGAGUAAUACAUCGGAACGUGCCCAGUAAUGGGGGAUAGCUCGGCGAAAGCCGGAUUAAUACCGCAUACGCCCUGAGGGGGAAAGUGGGGGAUCGCAAGACCUCACGUUAUUGGAGCGGCCGAUGGCUGAUUAGCUAGUUGGUAGGGUAAAGGCCUACCAAGGCGACGAUCAGUAGCUGGUCUGAAAGGACGAUCAGCCACACUGGGACUGAGACACGGCCCAGACUCCUACGGGAGGCAGCAGUGGGGAAUUUUGGACAAUGGGGGAAACCCUGAUCCAGCAAUGCCGCGUGUGCGAAGAAGGCCUUCGGGUUGUAAAGCACUUUUGUCAGGGAAGAAAUCCUUUGGGCUAAUACCCUAGGGGGAUGACGGUACCUGAAGAAUAAGCACCGGCUAACUACGUGCCAGCAGCCGCGGUAAUACGUACGGUGCAAGCGUUAAUCGGAAUUACUGGGCGUAAAGCGUGCGCAGGCGGUUGUGUAAGACAGGUGUGAAAUCCCCGGGCUUAACCUGGGAAUUGCAUUUGUGACUGCACGACUAGAGUGUGUCAGAGGAGGGUGGAAUUCCACGUGUAACAGUGAAAUGCGUAGAUAUGUGGAGGAACACCAAUGGCGAAAGCAGCCCCCUGGGAUAACACUGACGCUCAUGCUCGAAAGCGCGGGGAGCAAACAGGAUUAGAUACCCUGGUAGUCCACGCCGUAAUCGAUGUCAACUAGUUGUUGGGGAUUCACUUCCUUGGUAACGUGGCUAACGCGUGAAGUUGACCGCCUGGGGAGUACGGCCGCAAGGUUAAAACUCAAAGGAAUUGACGAGGACCCGCACAAGCGGUGGAUGAUGUGGAUUAAUUCGAUGCAACGCGAAAAACCUUACCUACCCUUGACAUGGCAGGAACUUUCCAGAGAUGGAUUGGUGCUCGAAAGAGAACCUGCACACAGGUGGUGCAUGGCUGUCGUCAGCUCGUGUCGUGAGAUGUUGGGUUAAGUCCCGCAACGAGCGCAACCCUUGUCAUUAGUUGCUACGAAAGGGCACUCUAAUGAGACUGCCGGUGACAAACCGGAGGAAGGUGGGGAUGACGUCAUGUCCUCAUGGCCCUUAUGGGUAGGGCUUCACACGUCAUACAAUGGUCGGUACAGAGGGUUGCCAAGCCGCGAGGUGGAGCCAAUCCCAGAAAACCGAUCGUAGUCCGGAUCGCAGUCUGCAUCUCGACUGCGUGAAGUCGGAAUCGCUAGUAAUCGCGGAUCAGAAUGCCGCGGUGAAUACGUUCCCGGGUCUUGUACACCCCGCCCGUCACCCCAUGGGAGUGGGUUCUACCAGAAGUGGCUAGUCUCCCCGAAAGGAGGCCGGUCCCCUCGGUGGGGUUCAU
This 1436-nucleotide ribosomal RNA is filed under the name uncultured organism. RNAcentral describes it as "SSU rRNA". It matches the Rfam family "Bacterial small subunit ribosomal RNA". The record is from RNAcentral.